CUUUCUCUCUCUCUCUCUCUCUCUCUCCCUCUCUCUCUCUCUCUCUCUGUGUGUGUGUGUGUGUGUGUGUGAGAGAGAGAGAGAGAGAGAGAGAGAGAGGGAGAGAAAG
Non-coding RNA from Podarcis lilfordi (Lilford's wall lizard), 109 nucleotides. Lineage: Eukaryota; Metazoa; Chordata; Lepidosauria; Squamata; Lacertidae. The record is from the annotation of a GenBank genome assembly.